AAACCCAGGGUGGGCGGGGCAAGGAAGAAGAGGCGGAGAGAGUGGCGCGGAGGACGACGGGAAGAAAAGCGCUGGCGCCGCGUUUAUGACGUAACGCGCGGGGUGUCGCUGUGAGGCGGCUACAGGGUAAUGCUCCGCGCUUCUGAGCAAAAUAUUACCCGGCGGAGAAUUGAGAAGCGAGUGGAGAAAAUGAGUUCCCAAGACAUUUUUUCAAGACUUUUUUUCCCCAGUUAUACAUUUUUUUGUGUUCCGUCCUUCACACCCAGGGCUUAGCCUCCGGCCGUGACUCAGCACGUAGAAGCGGGACGCCGGAAGUGUUUUUCGCCGCCGGAUGGAAGCUGCGAGGCAGCCAAGCUGCGCUGGGCGCCCGCGAUCCUCCUGCUGACCGCGCGGCGACCUUGGCCGGCGCCGGAGCCCGAGGAGGCGGGGCGAGCGGCGCGACGCUAGUUCCGCCCCGCGGAACCGGGCUCCGUCCGGGCGCCGGCCCGCGCGGCCUCUAGCUGCGCCGGCUCUCUGUCAGGUGGCCGCCUGCGUCUGGGUGCUUCCUUCAUGUACUUUUUUCCAGAGGUUUUUUUCUGCCUGUAAUGUUACUAGGAUGGCCGUCACUCAGACUGUUCUUGAAACCGACAUGUUAGCAAGAUCCGAUGUGCCGACACCAUGAAGCCAAAGAUCCCCACACAUAAAGGGAAGAAGUACUUAUAAAUGAAGGGAGAAGGAUCAAGCAGAAAGCGGUAUUGAUGACUGUUAAAGGUAAACUACCCGCAAUGUGGGGCUCCAACUCAGGCUGAGCUGCAGGGUGGCAUGUGUACCAGCGAAGCCAGCCCGGCGCCCUGGGGCUUGGGUUUUGACGGUGUAAACGGACAAUAAAAUCAAUGAUCUGUUGGAACAACAAAAGGGAGAGUGCACGCAAGGGGAGGAGCAGAGGGAGAUGGAGAGGAAGAUCCUAAGCAGACCCCGUGCUGAAAUGGAGCCCAACAUGGGGCUGGAUCUCAUGACUCUCAGAUCAUGACCUGAGCUGUAAUCAAGAGUCAGACGCUCAACCAACUGAGGCACUCAGGUGUCCCAAGGCAGUUUUUGUCUGCACUCUUUGUCUAAAAGGUAUACUUACCCUUUCUCCCAAGAAGUCCAUUGGGUCCUCAUGAAAAUAGGACUCCUAGAUAUCUUAGUAUCCCAGGAUCUUAGCAUCAGGGUGUAGAUUUGGCUUCAGCUGUUCUCAGAGGAUCACUUUCUAAGUAUAUUUUGAUAAGUUCAUUAAAAAUUCAACUCUCAUUACCUCCAGGCAUGAUCUUACAGGCUAUACAACUAUUAUAAUCUUUAAAAAUUGUAUAUUAUAUACAAUUAAGAUUAGAAUAAAUAAAAUCAUAAAGUCUACUUAAAAGAUGAGGGUACUAUCAAAUAUCAAUUUCAAAGGGCCACUACAUUUAGGACUCAAGAAAGCAUUACUAUAGAAGCAGAGCUUCUAUAGAGUUUUCCCCCAAAAUCUAAUUGGAUGAAAGAAACUCCCCUUCCUUUCUAUGUAUAACUAAAGGAUGAAUAAGCAUUAACCAAAUGAUGGAGAAUGAAAGAGGAAAGAUCAUUCAAAGCUGAGUUCCAAGACAUGUAAAGGGUCAAAGAAGAAAAAGCAAUGUUCUUGUAGGUUUGAAAGUAAUUAUAUAUGGCUUAAUGGUAAAGAUUGAGAGGGGAAUGGCAAUAGUUAAAACUGGAGGGGUAAGCUGGAGAUAAAUCAUUAGGCUCUAUGUUUUAUGUUGAGUAUGAACUUUAUCUGAAGACAAUGCAGCGUCACCAAAGGACAUCAAGGUAGGGCAAGAGAAGCUCAGAUAAAUGUUUUGAAAGAUCAUUCUGGCUGCAAGAUAGAGACUAGAUGGAAGGUGUGCUAAGUAUUUUGUUUGUCUCUCCAGAUAGUCUUUCCACCAUACUCCACUUGUUUUGUGUCAUAGAAGAUUGACCUAUAAGGGCUCCCAACAGGCUCCCUUGCCUCUGGCUUCUGGUUGGGUCCAGCAUUGGGAAAUAGCAGCAGAAGAUCAGAGGUCGGGAGGAAAGAAAGGCCUGAGUAUUUAUCCCCCAGUUCCCUCCCUGCUGAGUCACUUUGUGAGGAUACUUCCCUCCACCAAAGCCCAUAGCUCUUAACAGACAGCAACCUUCCAUUCAACUGCCCUCUUUAGACUCUGAUAAUCACUGUCUCCCUUAUUUUUUCAUGCUUUUGGCUAGUAAUGACUCCCACUGUUGCUAGCCCCGGAGGAACUUAAUUUCCCAUGUUGAUUCCCCUAAAACCUGCACACAUUUUGUAAAUAGUUCCUUUAUUAAACAUACUGGAAAUUA
This is a long non-coding RNA of Canis lupus familiaris (dog), 2319 nucleotides long. RefSeq lists it as uncharacterized. Lineage: Eukaryota; Metazoa; Chordata; Mammalia; Carnivora; Canidae. The transcript is spliced from 3 exons. The record is from RefSeq and is a predicted model, not a curated record.